RNAcentral lists this ribosomal RNA (466 nucleotides) under uncultured Clostridium sp. RNAcentral describes it as "bacterial SSU rRNA". It matches the Rfam family "Bacterial small subunit ribosomal RNA", at positions 916 to 1381 of the family's 1533-position model. The record is from RNAcentral. Lineage: Bacteria; Bacillati; Bacillota; Clostridia; Eubacteriales; Clostridiaceae.
ACGGGGCCCGGCACAAGCAGCGGAGCAUGUGGUUUAAUUCGAAGCAACGCGAAGAACCUUACCUAGACUUGACAUCUCCUGAAUUACCCGUAACUGGGGAAGCUCUUCGGAGCAGGAAGACAGGUGGUGCAUGGUUGUCGUCAGCUCGUGUCGUGAGAUGUUGGGUUAAGUCCCGCAACGAGCGCAACCCUUAUCGUUAGUUGCUACCAUUAAGUUGAGCACUCUAGCGAGACUGCCCGGGUUAACCGGGAGGAAGGUGGGGAUGACGUCAAAUCAUCAUGCCCCUUAUGUCUAGGGCUACACACGUGCUACAAUGGUGAGGACAAAGAGACGCAAGACCGCGAGGUGGAGCAAAUCUCACAAACCUCAUCCCAGUUCGGAUUGCAGGCUGAAACUCGCCUGCAUGAAGCCGGAGUUGCUAGUAAUCGCGAAUCAGCAUGUCGCGGUGAAUACGUUCCCGGGCCUU